GAUGAACGCUAGCGGCAGGCUUAACACAUGCAAGUCGAGGGGUAGGUUACUUCGGUAAUUGAGACCGGCGCACGGGUGCGUAACGCGUAUACAAUCUACCUUUUACAGAGGGAUAGCCCAGAGAAAUUUGGAUUAAUACCUCAUAGUAUUUUUGAAUCGCAUGAUUUGAUUAUUAAAGUUCCAACGGUAAAAGAUGAGUAUGCGUCCCAUUAGCUAGAUGGUAAGGUAACGGCUUACCAUGGCUACGAUGGGUAGGGGUCCUGAGAGGGAGAUCCCCCCANACUGGUACUGAGACACGGACCAGACUCCUACGGGAGGCAGCAGUGAGGAAUAUUGGACAAUGGGCGCAAGCCUGAUCCAGCCAUGCCGCGUGCAGGAAGAAGGUCCUAUGGAUUGUAAACUGCUUUUANACAAGAAGAAACNCUCCCUGUGAGGGAACUUGACGGUACUGUAUGAAUAAGGACCGG
This 467-nucleotide ribosomal RNA is filed under the name uncultured bacterium. Its description in RNAcentral is "bacterial SSU rRNA". It matches the Rfam family "Bacterial small subunit ribosomal RNA", at positions 28 to 496 of the family's 1533-position model. The record is from RNAcentral.